RNAcentral lists this ribosomal RNA (451 nucleotides) under uncultured bacterium. RNAcentral describes it as "bacterial SSU rRNA". It matches the Rfam family "Bacterial small subunit ribosomal RNA", at positions 335 to 799 of the family's 1533-position model. The record is from RNAcentral.
ACUCCUACGGGAGGCAGCAGUGGGGAAUCUUGCGCAAUGGGCGAAAGCCUGACGCAGCCAUGCCGCGUGAAUGAUGAAGGUCUUAGGAUUGUAAAAUUCUUUCACCGGGGACGAUAAUGACGGUACCCGGAGAAGAAGCCCCGGCUAACUUCGUGCCAGCAGCCGCGGUAAUACGAAGGGGGCUAGCGUUGCUCGGAAUUACUGGGGCGUAAAGGGAGCGUAGGCGGACAUUUAAGUCAGGGGUGAAAUCCCGGGGGCUCAACCUCGGAAUUGCCUUUUGAUACUGGAUGUCUUGAGUGUGAGAGAGGUAUGUGGAACUCCGAGUGUAGAGGUGAAAUUCGUAGAUAUUCGGAAGAACACCAGUGGCGAAGGCGACAUACUGGCUCAUUACUGACGCUGAGGCUCGAAAGCGUGGGGAGCAAACAGGAUUAGAUACCCUGGUAGGAUAGCG